AGCAGUGUGCCAUAAUGGUAAGGUGCUGGGCUAGUAACUGAAAGGUUGCUGGUUCGAUUCCCCGCUGGGG
RNAcentral lists this transfer RNA (70 nucleotides) under Megalops atlanticus (tarpon). RNAcentral describes it as "tRNA-OTHER". Lineage: Eukaryota; Metazoa; Chordata; Actinopteri; Elopiformes; Megalopidae. The record is from RNAcentral.